This 70-nucleotide transfer RNA is filed under the name Carapus bermudensis. RNAcentral describes it as "tRNA-Arg". It matches the Rfam family "tRNA". From Rfam's summary of the family: Transfer RNA (tRNA) molecules are approximately 80 nucleotides in length. Their secondary structure includes four short double-helical elements and three loops (D, anti-codon, and T loops). Lineage: Eukaryota; Metazoa; Chordata; Actinopteri; Ophidiiformes; Carapidae. The record is from RNAcentral.
GGGUGGUUAGUUUAAGCUAAAACCUGUGAUUUCGACUCGCAAAACGGUGGCUAAAUUCCACCACCGCUCU